This 253-nucleotide ribosomal RNA is filed under the name uncultured bacterium. RNAcentral's name for it is "partial 16S ribosomal RNA". It matches the Rfam family "Bacterial small subunit ribosomal RNA", at positions 524 to 776 of the family's 1533-position model. The record is from RNAcentral.
UACGUAAGGUCCGAGCGUUGUCCGGAAUCAUUGGGCGUAAAGCGCGCGCAGGUGGUCUUUUAAGUCUGAUGUGAAAGCCCCCGGCUCAACCGGGGAGGGUCAUUGGAAACUGGAAGACUUGAGUGCGAGAGAGAAGAGUGGAAUUCCAUGUGUAGCGGUGAAAUGCGUAGAGAUAUGGAGGAACACCAGUGGCGAAGGCGACUUUCUGGUCUGCAACUGACGCUGAUGUGCGAAAGCGUGGGGAUCAAACAGG